Molecule: long non-coding RNA, 11558 nt
Filed under: Medicago truncatula (barrel medic)
Lineage: Eukaryota; Viridiplantae; Streptophyta; Magnoliopsida; Fabales; Fabaceae
Description: long non-coding RNA (MTRU_LNC006754)
Rfam family: MIR2619 microRNA precursor family (bases 10844-11022)
Source: RNAcentral
GAAGAUUUCAUAUUCUAAAAAAAGUACUUGUUGUGCUUAGGAAGAAAUGUCCUUAUAUUGCAUUUUUUGUCAGAAUUGAGAAUUAAGACUUGAAUUUUGAUGCAGAAAAGACUUCACAAACUAUGCAGAUGUGUGUUUUAGAGAGUUCGGGGAUAGAGUCAAGUAUUGGACUACUGUGAACGAGCCCAAUAUCUUCGCUGUAGGUAGUUAUGAUCAAGGAAUCUCCCCACCUCAGCGAUGUUCUCCACCAUUUUGCCUUAUAGAGAGCACCAAGGGUAACUCAACAUUUGAACCGUACUUGGUAGUUCAUCAUAUUUUGCUAGCGCAUUCUUCAGCUGUGAGAUUGUAUAGAAGAAAGUACAGGGUAUAUCGCCUAAUUUUUUUUCAUACUGUGUACUUCUCUUUGUACUUUUUGUUUUGUUUUGUUACUGUUACACUACUCUCUAGAGACUUGUUACAUUGCAGGAGGAACAAAAUGGAUUUGUUGGUAUCUCACUCUAUACAUUUGGGUCAGUUCCACAAACAAAUACAGAGAAAGACAGGGCAGCAUGUCAACGACUUCGCGAUUUUUAUUUGGGUUGGUGAGUUACCGACUCUAAAAUUGGUUAUAAUAUUUUAUCUUCUUCUUCUUACUGCCUAUUUUAUUUAAGGAUUAUGGAACCCUUAUUGCAUGGAGACUAUCCCUAUUCCAUGAAGGCAAAUGCGGGCACGAGAAUUCCUGCCUUCACAAGUCGCGAAUCCAAACAAGUUAAGGGUUCCUAUGACUUUGUUGGCAUAAUUCACUACAUGAAAUUUAAUGUCACAGACAAUUCUGAUGUGCUGAACACAGAACUUAGAGAUUUCAGUGCAGACGCGGCUGCAAAGCUACUUGGUAUGUGUUGUGUUUAAUCAUGGGAUUUUAAAGCUUAGAGCUAUAUAAGCUUGCUGUACUAAUUGCAUUUUUUUUCAUAUGAUUCUGUUGUUUUCAACUAGUUGAACUCUUUACAUCAUUUAGUAUCUGACUCCCCUUUUCAUCACUUGUUGAAUAACCAUGUGCAUCACUUGUUGAAUAAUUGGUGGAGUAAAAUGAACUAUUUCUUUGUUUUCUGUGGUUUUGCAGGUUUAGAGGAAGUACUUGGAGAGAAUGAGGUAACGGUUAAAAAACUAAUUAAAAUUAUCAUCUUAAUUGAUUUGUUCAAUCACAGAUUACUUCACAGUAAAAUUAUCUGGUUUGAUUUGGCUCAGUACCCAUUCACACCAUGGGCUUUAGGACAAGUACUGGACACAUUCAAGACCCUUUAUGGCAAUCCACCUAUAUUCAUUCAUGAAAAUGGUAUGCUUACCUCUCGUUCAAGAUUACAUUGAUGGCAAUGAAUCUCUUAUAGGAAAUCGUCAUUGGAUGCUGAUUGAGGUUGAAUAAUAAGUUGCGGCGCUAAGGUUUUCCUGUCAUAGACGGCCAAAUAACAUUUUGACUAGGUUAUUGCAUAUUAUGGUUUUCAUGUAUUUUCCAUCCUCAAUUGUAUGGAAUUGUAAACUUAAGCAUCAAGGGAUUUGACAAUGAUUUGGUGGACCAUUCAUAACGCUUGUAAUUAUCGUUUUUAAACAAAUGUUGCAUAAGAUGAGUUCCAAUUGUUUGAAUUGUUAGGCCAACGGACACUAAGCAAUGCAUCACUCCAUGAUGAAUCAAGGUUGAAAUACUUGCAUGGAUACAUUGGUGCCGUGCUUGAUUCCUUAAGGUAUGUGAUUGCUACUCCAUACUAUUAUAUUUUGAAAAAUUAGAUUUAGAAAAUGUCUUUGAAAGAAGUUACUUAUCCAAUAAAUGAAAACAGUCCUAAACACGCAACAUUCAUAAAAGCAAUCACACCUGAAAUAAACACCUAUGCUUUGAUAUGGUAUGUGAUCUUCCGUCUCAUUUUUUUUAUCCUUCAGAAAUGGAUCAAAUAUGAAGGGAUAUUUCGUGUGGUCUUUCAUGGAUGCAUUCGAGUUGUUGGAUGGAUAUGAAUCGAUCUAUGGGCUGUACUAUGUCGAUAGGAAUGAUCCAGAGUUGAGAAGAUACCCAAAGCUAUCCGCAAAAUGGUACAGCCAAUUUUUGAAGGGUACAAGAUCCUCUCUAGUUGGUGCAAUUGAACUCAAUAACGAUUCAUCACUUGUUUCGGUUGGACAUUUACUUCAGUAGUGGGUUCUAUAAUUUGUAUGCAUUAAAGUGUUGUUACAUUUGGUGUUUCUGUUGAGAGACUUUCAGUUUUGUCGGUUAGCUGGUUAGUGGUUUAGAUGUUUAACAAAUCUGUUUGCAUGAUCAUUAUUUAGUUGAUCUAUCUAAAACCACUAUUCCAUCUGUGUAUGCAAUCAUCAUAAAGUGAGUGAUCUCACAUUAACAAUGGUAUCUAGUUCUUUGAUUUGGGACACGUGCAUACGAGAAUGUGAGGUUGUUUGCGAAAUCUGAGGUAGUCAUGACUAACUCUAAUGGUUCUUCGUUGGCCAACCUGUCUUUUCUUUAUGGCAAAAACUUAUAAUAGAGAAGUGGUUCCAGAUGCAAGUCAUCUUUGGUUUCUGGGAUGUGUUUGAAAUUUUGCAAGGCUCUCUUAUUGAUUCAUCUAUGUGUGAACUAUACGAAUUUUAGAAGAUAGCUGCAAAGGAUGCCUGAGACAUGUUAAAAAAUUCUUAUGUUGUUGCAAAGGUUGCCAAAGUAAGACUAUAGUUCAUGGACAAUAAAUAUUAACCAGAACUGUACGUCUUGUUUUGCUCAAAAACCACAAAGGAGCUGAUCAGCAGACAAAUGUGGCUUGCCUCUCUUAAAUUUCCUUGUGUUUUAUUAGAACUAAGAGAGAGAUUAGCACCAAAACGUGUCUCACUCUAAAUAUGUAUUUGCUUAUAUUUCAGGCUGGAUAGAGUAUUAUCUUUUCCAUUCAAUUUGUUUUAUUCAGCCAUUAACAAAAUUAUUUUUCAAACAAAAUAAACAAGAGAAAGCUAUUGCCAUUUUCAUAAAGUAUAUCAAGGCAGAAACAGUAAUUUUUCAGGAAAANNNNNNNNNNNNNNNNNNNNNNNNNNNNNNNNNNNNNNNNNNNNNNNNNNNNNNNNNNNNNNNNNNNNNNNNNNNNNNNNNNNNNNNNNNNNNNNNNNNNAAGCUUGCUGUACUAAUUGCAUUUUUUUUCAUAUGAUUCUGUUGUUUUCAACUAGUUGAACUCUUUACAUCAUUUAGUAUCUGACUCCCCUUUUCAUCACUUGUUGAAUAACCAUGUGCAUCACUUGUUGAAUAAUUGGUGGAGUAAAAUGAACUAUUUCUUUGUUUUCUGUGGUUUUGCAGGUUUAGAGGAAGUACUUGGAGAGAAUGAGGUAACGGUUAAAAAACUAAUUAAAAUUAUCAUCUUAAUUGAUUUGUUCAAUCACAGAUUACUUCACAGUAAAAUUAUCUGGUUUGAUUUGGCUCAGUACCCAUUCACACCAUGGGCUUUAGGACAAGUACUGGACACAUUCAAGACCCUUUAUGGCAAUCCACCUAUAUUCAUUCAUGAAAAUGGUAUGCUUACCUCUCGUUCAAGAUUAAAUUGAUUGCAAUGAAUCUCUUUUAGGAAAUCGUCAUUGGAUGCUGAUUGAGGUUGAAUAAUAAGUUGCGGCGCUAAGGUUUUCCUGUCAUAGACGGCCAAAUAACAUUUUGACUAGGUUAUUGCAUAUUAUGGUUUUCAUGUAUUUUCCAUCCUCAAUUGUAUGGAAUUGUAAACUUAAGCAUCAAGGGAUUUGACAAUGAUUUGGUGGACCAUUCAUAACGCUUGUAAUUAUCGUUUUUAAACAAAUGUUGCAUAAGAUGAGUUCCAAUUGUUUGAAUUGUUAGGCCAACGGACACUAAGCAAUGCAUCACUCCAUGAUGAAUCAAGGUUGAAAUACUUGCAUGGAUACAUUGGUGCCGUGCUUGAUUCCUUAAGGUAUGUGAUUGCUACUCCAUACUAUUAUAUUUUGAAAAAUUAGAUUUAGAAAAUGUCUUUGAAAGAAGUUACUUAUCCAAUAAAUGAAAACAGUCCUAAACACGCAACAUUCAUAAAAGCAAUCACACCUGAAAUAAACACCUAUGCUUUGAUAUGGUAUGUGAUCUUCCGUCUCAUUUUUUUUAUCCUUCAGAAAUGGAUCAAAUAUGAAGGGAUAUUUCGUGUGGUCUUUCAUGGAUGCAUUCGAGUUGUUGGAUGGAUAUGAAUCGAUCUAUGGGCUGUACUAUGUCGAUAGGAAUGAUCCAGAGUUGAGAAGAUACCCAAAGCUAUCUGCAAAAUGGUACGCCCAAUUUUUGAAGGGUACAAGAUCCUCCCUAGUUGGUGCAAUUGAACUCAAUAACGAUUCAUCACUUGUUUCGGUUGGACAUUUACUUCAGUAGUGGGUUCUAUAAUUUGUAUGCAUUAAAGUGUUGUUACAUUUGGUGUUUCUGUUGAGAGACUUUCAGUUUUGUCGGUUAGCUGGUUAGUGGUUUAGAUGUUUAAGAAAUCUGUUUGCAUAUUAUUUAGUUAAUCUAUCUAAAAUCACUAUUCCAUCGACCAUCUGUGUAUGCAAUCAUCAUAAAGUGAGUGAUCUCACAUUAACAAUGGUAUCUAGUUCUUUGAUUUGGGACACGUGCAUACGAGAAUGUGAGGUUGUUUGCGAAAUCUGAGGUAGUCAUGACUAACUCUAAUGGUUCUUCGUUGGCCAACCUGUCUUUUCUUUAUGGCAAAAACUUAUAAUAGAGAAGUGGUUCCAGAUGCAAGUCAUCUUUGGUUUCUGGGAUGUGUUUGAAAUUUUGCAAGGCUCUCUUAUUGAUCCAUCUAUGUGUGAACUAUACGAAUUUUAGAAGAUAGCUGCAAAGGAUGCCUGAGACAUGUUAAAAAAUUCUUAUGUUGUUGCAAAGGUUGCCAAAGUAAGACUAUAGUUCAUGGACAAAAAAUAUUAACCAGAACUGUACGUCUUGUUUUGCUCAAAAACCACAAAGGAGCUGAUCAGCAGACAAAUGUGGCUUGCCUCUCUUAAAUUUCCUUGUGUUUUAUUAGAACUAAGAGAGAGAUUAGCACCAAAACGUGUCUCACUCUAAAUAUGUAUUUGCUUAUAUUUCAGGCUGGAUAGAGUAUUAUCUUUUCCAUUCAAUUUGUUUUAUUCAGCCAUUAACAAAAUUAUUUUUCAAACAAAAUAAACAAGAGAAAGCUAUUGCCAUUUUCAUAAAGUAUAUCAAGGCAGAAACAGUAAUUUUUCAGGAAAAAUAGUUAUUAGAGACACAUUAAUCUAAGAAUUUUCAUAUACAGAAUAAAAUAAGGCCCCCGGGUAGGAGGCAACAACAAUCCACACAAUUGCAUAUUUUCUAUCAUAAACUACAAACCAAACAUGCCAUAGGAUAAACUAAGUCACAAACUUUCUGAGAACAUUGCUAUUUCACUUCUGCUGAAAGGAUUAUAUAUUUAUUCUUGCAGGAUAUGCCAAUAUAGAUCAGUGCUUGGUUUUUGGCUUCUUCACAAUCAUCACAGUGCAAUGAGCAUGAUGAGCACAGUAGUCACUCACACUACCUAAAACCGCCCUGCAAAUUAAAAGUGUCGAGUAUAGUGAGUGAAUUAGGAAAUUAUGAAAUGAAGUGUUUGCUUCAAGCAACAAUGUAUAUACAUGUUCUCCCCCAGUAUAAAUAAAAUGAAAAGUCAAAUAAACUUAGAAAGGAGAAACCACAUUGUAUUGAACACAUUUUGAGUAAUGAAAUGCAAUAAGUUUAUUCCUCUCAAAAAAUAUAAACUUAGAAAGCAAAAGGAAGGUUUGAUUGUUGAUUAAAAUAGAAAAGAUCAUAGAGACUUUAUAAUCGGUAAGUUGUAGAAAACUAUGUGAAUCAUACAAAAAACCACUGCUGCCUAUCUUCUACAGGUUAAAAAGAUUUUAGUGGAUGGCAAAUUACAUUUUAUUCUUGUUUUUGGCCAUUUAAUUGUGUUUGUGAUCGUGGUGGCAUUCACUUAAGUUAAAAUGUUAGAACUAAAUGCAGCAUAUUCAUGGUAUAUCCCAAUCACAAUUACCUAUCACUCCAAACCAAGGAUGAUAAUCGUAACAACAAUGAAAUCAUACCUUUUUAUAGCCCCAUAACCGUGACUACCCACAACCAAGAUUGAAGCACGGUACUUUUCCACUGUAUCACAGAGAACAUUUCUAGCAUCACCUUCCACCACCUCUACUAUUACAUCAUUUACCUGAAGAAAAUUCAGUUAUCAGAUAGUUUUUCCACAUAUGACAUAAGUACUUAAACAUCAUAAUGUAUACGUUUUUCCUUAGGCUCGAAAGUAGAAAAAUAAAUUCACGAUGAUAUUAAUACACACGAGUUUUGUUGGCCCUAACUAAUAGGGAUAUGGAUAUGGAAACUCAAUAAUUUCACUCGAAAAGCAUAACAAUUAACAGACAUACAAAGAUGAUGGUAAGUUUGUUUAAACCAGUUGAAGCAAUUUAAGUGAAAUACAACACGAAAUUGAAACAUGAUAAAUCUUAACAUCACGAAGAAACAAUGAUAAAUUAAGGGUUUUUUCUAGAUUACCUAUGAAGAAUGGUGGGUAAUUUACCCACCAAUAAAAAUGAGCAAUUUGUUGGUGGGGUCAAGAUAGUUCAAUGGAUACCAACAUACAAGUGUGGGAGAUGGCCGCACGAGGCACCGACACACCCCCAAAACCAAACUGCUAGCUGACAAAAAACCACCAACAUACAAACAGCAACAACAGCAUUGCUGUUCCUGUCACCAAACAGCAGCUAAAAGUACCGCGCAGAGACCCCAACAGCACCAAAAUACAUAUUUUCUCUUUCAACUUUUUUCCAUUUUUGUAAGAGUGUCCAAAUUUUAUGUCUAAAGUCUCGUGAUCACACAAAAAGUUCUCCAGAUCUAGACACUAAAGAUGGGAAUUUUUUUUUUUCUGCCCUUAUUUAAUUCCAAAAAUACAAAAAUGCCCCACUUUUGAAAAAAAUUGCAUAAAUGCCCUACUUUUCAGAAUUUUCGGGUACCUUGCAACCCCCACUUGCGGGGUACCUUAAAAAAAAUUUAAAAAUUAAGUACAUUGCUACCCCCACUUGCGGGGUAUGAAUUUUUUUUUUUAUUUUUUAUUUUUUUAAAUAAAUAGAUUGCUACCCCCACUUGCGGGGUAUGCUUAAUUUUUUUAAAAUGUUUUUAAUACACCCCGCAAGCCCCACUUGCGGGUUAGUUUAUGUGAUUUUUUUUUUAAUUUUUUCUCGUAAUUAUUAAUAAUAAUAAUAAUAAUAAUAAUAUUAAUAAUAAUAAUAAUAUUAAUCACUAGACAUCCUAUAAACAAAAUAAAGACUAAAUUUCUACUGAUGUCUAAUAUUAAUGCAAUCUUUGCGGGAAUGACCAGGCAUCCUCCAAACACCGCAUCUUUCUCUCAGUUUCCACAUCGUCCAUCUCGGUCCUAAUGCGAGUAAUUGGUGGACGACCUUUCUUUGCCCUACGCAUUGACUUGUUGGGAACCACCUUCGGUCCUUCAUAAUUAGGCCAAUAUGUCUGGUGGUGAACCACGUCGAAGUGGAUGUUGUAUACGGCGUAUACACACUCAUUUGUGAAUUUGUUAUCGACAAAAGUCUUGUAGUCGUGACAAAAGCUAGAACAUGCGGCAAUGACAUGUGAGCAUGGUAGGUGUAACGCUCUAAACCGUCCACAGUCACACCAUUUAUUUUGCAGGUCCACUUUGUAUUCUCCCUUUGGCAAUCCUUCUUUAUGAUCGAUGGUUUCACGGACGGAAAAGGUAUAUCGAUCCCGGUCAAACUGAGUGACAUGAUGACUGUUGGAUUUAAUCACCUCAUUCCUGGCGCAUCCAACAACAACUACUUCUCCUAUAAUGACCCAAACCAAGCUGGACCGUCCAACACCAAUUACCCCCCCUACAGCAACCCACAAUACCCAAUGUACACCAACCAAAACUACAACCACCCACCAACACCAACAAACCUAUUAUCUCACUUUUCUCCGGCUUCGUUGAACUCUAGUGAUCAAUUUCUGGAUAUGGGAUGGCCAACAAGGGAACACGAUGUGUCAUUGUCAUUGGGUUAUGGUAGUCAAAUACAAUCAGCUGCAGAUAACAACGACGAAGACCAACAUGACCCUCAAGUAAAUCGCGGAAGAAAUCGUCGAAGACGAGGGUGUGGGACAGCCGGGCAUUUAUAAUAAUUGUAGAUAUCAUGAUAUUUAAUAUGUUUAUUAUUUUUUUUCCUUCUUUUUUUUAUUAUUUUUUUUUAUUUUAAAAAUAAAAAAAAAAAAAAACAAAAAACAAACCCGCAAGUGGGGCUUGCGGGGUAUUAAAAAAAUUUAAAAAAAAAUUAAAUACCCCGCAAGUUGGGGUAGCAAGUUAUUUAAUUUAAAAAAAAAAAAAAUAUAGGCCGCAAGUGGUAGUUAUUUAAUUUUAAAAAAAUAAAAAAUAAAAAUGUAGCCCGCAAGUCCCACUUGCGGGGGUAGUUAAUUUUUUAAAUUUUUUUAAGGUACCCCGCAAGUGGGGGUUGCAAGGUACCAGAAUUUCUGAAAAGUAGGGCAUUUAUGCAAUUUUUUUCAAAACUAGGGCAUUUUUGUAUUUUUGGAAUUAAAUAAGGGCAAAAAAAAAAAAAAAUUCCUAAAGAUGGAUUUACAUUAAUCACAAAUUUUUUGUUUGUUGAGAAAUUACAUCAAUCACAAUGAAUAUGGCAAAACCAUAAUACACAAAUAUCGGAUUUUGUGAAAAAAAAUUCAAUAAACAUAUUAACGCGUUGUGAUUUUGUCACAUUCAUUGUGGAGCGAUUUGUGGAAACUUUAAAAAAAAUGAAAGUGGGUCAAUUAUGUCAUUAACUCUCAUAGGGGUCAGAAGUGAAAUUAUUUUGGGAAACCGGGUCAAAAAAAAAUUCGAUAAUAGAAUAUGCUUAUUACUUAUUACUCCCUCCUUAAGUCUAUUUGGAAAAGAAAAUUGUCCUAAAUUAUACGUCGCUUAACAAUACCAAUGAAAUAUUAAUGUUAUUUUUUCUAUUAUAUCCUUAAUUAUUAAUUACUAUCUCUUCUUUCAAUUAUUUCAUUUAUCUUUUCCAUACCAUUUAUUAGGGAUAAUUUUGUAAAAUUUUAAUACGUGUGAAAUGGCCAAAACGUCGUGCAAUUUGGGACGGAGGAAAUAGUAUCUUUAUCAGAGCAAGAUUAGAAAAUGAGUCAGAAUCACCAAUUCGGUGUUGUCUUUUACUCACACACACUUCUAAAAAAUGGAACACGGAAAUGUUUGAGGAAUAUAGAGAAAGAAAAAAAAAACAUAAAACAUAGAAGAUGGAAGCAAAUACAUGUUUGACUCUUGUUUUCUUUUUGCUUCUAAACUUGGCUCUUGGGGUGUUGAGUACUGAUAAUUAUGGCAGACAUGAUUUCCCUGUUGACUUUGUUUUUGGGUCAGGUACCUCUGCAUAUCAGGUUCUCUUUUACUUUACCUCAAAAAGAAGUAACCAUGCAAUUUCAUUAUUGUAGAAUAAUUAAAUUAUGAUUAUAUUUUAUUGUUGUACUUGUGAUUAUGAUGAAUAGGUGGAAGGAGCUGCUAAUGAAGAUGGAAGAACUCCUAGCAUUUGGGAUACCUUUGCACAUGCUGGUUAGUCAAUUCAUUCUAUCAUCCAUCUUAUCAUUUUUGAGUCAUAGUUCAAAUCAAUUUUUUUUAGAGACUAUGGUAACUGUAAUAAUCAUUUUUAAAUAUUUUUACUUUAGAAAACGUGUUCAAUAAAAAAGUCAUGCUUUGAUGAGCCUUCACUCACUUUAAUCAAGUUAUUUGAUAAUUGGAUCACAACAAAAUUAUCAUUUUAAUUCCAACAUAUAAUCUAAAAUAAAUUUCUUGUAAUUGGAGCAAAGCCAAGCCCAAAAGUUUGUUAUCAAUUAUUUGCACUAUAAACCAACCUUUUUCUGAAGCGAAAAUCAAUGAGAAACUGGGAAUAUGUUAAGUAUUUACAAUUUAACUUUUCAGUUUUUACUUCUUCAUUUGCUUUGAGCAUUAUAAACCAAUUCUAACGACUAGCAUUUUUAUACAAAAAGGGUUUGCGCGUGGAGGAAAUGGAGAUGUAGCCUGCGACACGUACCACAAAUACAAGGUAAACAAGACACAAGGCUUCUAUCUUUCUAAUUUUGUCUAGUAAUGCAUUCUUUAUGAUUCAUCUUUUAAUGCAGGAAGAUGUGCAGCUCAUGGUUGAAACAGGUCUUGAAGCCUAUAGAUUUUCCAUUUCUUGGUCAAGAUUGAUACCAAGUAUUCCACUGAACUUAAACUUUAAUACAGAUCGAUGAAUGGUGAAAUUUGACGUUCUUUAAUUAUUUUUUCAGUGAAGACUAACUCCCUUCGAAAAUGUUUGUAUUUCUUCCCAGAUGGUAAAGGACCCGUCAACCCGAAGGGAUUGCAGUACUACAACAAUCUCAUCAAUGAACUCAUUAGAAAUGGUUAGAUACGAGCUUCUUCAUUUGCUGCAAGAUAAGACAUGCCUUAAUCAAGAUUUCAAAAACAGUAAGUGAAAUCAAUUCUGUUUCUUCAAGUGAUAUAAUACAAGUCUUUUCCAUUUGUAGGAAUCCAACCACAUGUCACACUACACAACUAUGAUCUCCCACAGGCACUUGAGGAUGAAUAUGAAGGAUGGCUUAGUCGUGAGGUCAUGUAUGUUCAUAUCUCCUAUAGCUGCACCAGUUUGCUGUCACAAUUAGUUCUUACAAUUCUUAGUGCAUGAAAUAAGGCACAAUACACCAUAAAUCUAGAGAGAAUAGAAAGGUCCAUAUACACCAAGUACUUGAUGCGUGAAAUAAGACUCUUUUAGCUUUUAUUGUUCUUGCCUCACUUGCUCAUAUGAUCAAGGCUUAAUAGCAGUUUUCGCCCCCUAACUUUCACGAAGUUGCGAUUUUGGCCCUCUAAAUAAAAAAACUACAAAACCGCCCCCUAAGUUCUGCAAUUGUAGCAGUUUUGGCCCCCCAAGGCCAAUUUUUGGUAAAAAAAAUAAAAAUAAAACACGUGGCACUUCACUUAGGGUGCCGCGUCAGCAUAGACCGAGUCAAAAUUGGCUUUGGGGGCCAAAACUGCCACAAAUGCAAAACUUAGGGGGCGGUUUUGUAGUUUUUUUCUUAGGGGGCUAAAACUGCUAUUAAGCCUGUGAUCAAUGGUCAAACGCAUUUUAAUGAUGUGAAGAUUUCGUAUUCUAAAAAAAGCACUUAUUGUGCUUAGGGAGAAAUGUCCUUAUACUGCAUUUUUUGACAGAAUUGAGAAUUAUGACUUGAAUUUUGAUGCAGAAAAGACUUCACAAACUAUGCAGAUGUGUGUUUUAGAGAGUUCGGGGAUAGAGUCAAGUAUUGGACUACUGUGAACGAGCCCAAUAUCUUCGCUGUAGGUAGUUAUGAUCAAGGAAUCACCCCACCUCAGCGAUGUUCUCCUCCAUUUUGCCUUAUAGAGAGCACCAAGGGUAACUCAACAUUUGAACCGUACUUGGUAGUUCAUCAUAUUUUGCUAGCGCAUUCUUCAGCUGUGAGAUUGUAUAGAAGAAAGUACAGGGUAUAUCGCCUAAUUUUUUUCAUAUUGUGUACUUCUCUUUGUGUUUUUUUGUUUGUUAUUGUUACUCUACUCUCUAGAGACUUGUUACAUUGCAGGAGG